Molecule: ribosomal RNA, 292 nt
Filed under: uncultured bacterium
Lineage: Bacteria
Description: partial 16S ribosomal RNA
Rfam family: Bacterial small subunit ribosomal RNA
Source: RNAcentral
GUGCCAGCCGCCGCGGUAAUACGUAGGCAGCGAGCGUUGUUCGGAAUUACUGGGCGUAAAGAGUGUGUAGGCGGUGUUCCCAGUCUGUUGUGAAAUCUCCCGGCUUAACUGGGAGGGUGCAGCGGAAACUAGAAUGCUAGAGGGUGGGAGAGGUAAGCGGAAUUCCUGGUGUAGCGGUGAAAUGCGUAGAUAUCAGGAGGAACACCUGUGGUGUAGACAGCUUACUGGACCACUUCUGACGCUGAGACACGAAAGCGUGGGUAGCAAACAGGAUUAGAUACCCGCGUAGUCC